GACAUUGACGUCAAUACAUAGCACCUAACUUUAUUAUCAUCGUCCAAUCAUUUCUCAUAAGAUGCUUUCUGAUCAACGAUUGGAUGGAUUGGGAGAGGAGAAAGGUCCUGAUCAAGGAUAUAAACUAAUUUUUUGGAACUCAAAAUGAUUUUCAAGUAUUGGAACCAAUCUUUAAAAUUUGAUCCGAUCAAUCUAUUGAUUUCUAAGAUACGGGUUAGG
Molecule: long non-coding RNA, 219 nt
Filed under: Elaeis guineensis (African oil palm)
Lineage: Eukaryota; Viridiplantae; Streptophyta; Magnoliopsida; Arecales; Arecaceae
Description: long non-coding RNA (EGUI_LNC003221)
Source: RNAcentral